RNAcentral lists this ribosomal RNA (504 nucleotides) under uncultured bacterium. RNAcentral describes it as "partial 16S ribosomal RNA". It matches the Rfam family "Bacterial small subunit ribosomal RNA", at positions 28 to 523 of the family's 1533-position model. The record is from RNAcentral.
GAUAAACGCUAGCGGCAGGCUUAACACAUGCAAGUCGAGGGGCAGCAUAGAUUGUAGCAAUACAAUUGGUGGCGACCGGCGCACGGGUGCGUAACGCGUAUGCAACCUACCCGUCACAGGGGGAUAAUCCGGAGAAAUCUGGUCUAAUACCCCAUAACAUAUGGAUCGGCAUCGGUUCAUGUUGAAAUUUUCGGAGGUGACGGAUGGGCAUGCGUAGCAUUAGCUUGUUGGUGAGGUAACGGCUCACCGAGGCGACGAUGCUUAGGGGGACUGAGAGGUUUUCCCCCCACACUGGUACUGAGACACGGACCAGACUCCUACGGGAGGCAGCAGUGAGGAAUAUUGGUCAAUGGGCGCAAGCCUGAACCAGCCAUGCCGCGUGCAGGAUGACGGCUCUAUGAGUUGUAAACUGCUUUUGUACGAGGGUAAAGUGGGUUACGUGUAACCUUUUGAAAGUAUCGUACGAAUAGGGAUCAGCUAACUCCGUGCCAGCAGCCGCGGUAA